Molecule: non-coding RNA, 250 nt
Filed under: Bacillus sp. (in: firmicutes)
Lineage: Bacteria; Bacillati; Bacillota; Bacilli; Caryophanales; Bacillaceae
Description: Bacillus sp. T-box sequence
Rfam family: T-box leader
About the family: Uncharged tRNA acts as the effector for transcription antitermination of genes in the T-box leader family. T-boxes are found upstream of many aminoacyl-tRNA synthetase genes and some amino acid biosynthetic genes usually in Gram-positive bacteria.
Source: RNAcentral
AUAAAUUCGAUGAUGAGAAGAGUAAGAUGGGAUCGCUGUUCCAAAGAGAGUCGGCACUAGGUGGAAGUCGAUGUUCAGUACCUUUCCGAAGAUCAUCUCUAAGAUGCAAAGCUGAAUCUAGUAAGCUUUGACGGGUUUUCCACCGUUACAUUGGAACACGUAUGAUGGUACGUUGGUCUUGAGAGCCGCAUGAUUGUUAUCGAUUGCUGCGGAAUUAGGGUGGUAACGCGAGUACAAACUCGUCCCUUGU